Fundulus heteroclitus (mummichog) is the source of this 317-nucleotide long non-coding RNA. RefSeq lists it as uncharacterized. The record is from RefSeq and is a predicted model, not a curated record. Lineage: Eukaryota; Metazoa; Chordata; Actinopteri; Cyprinodontiformes; Fundulidae. The transcript is spliced from 2 exons.
UUAUCUUUUUUAUGUAAUACCUUUAAUUUCCAAAUUAUCUCUUAAUUUGUGAAUGGUAGAGAAUAUGGUUGAGCUCACCACACCACCGAUUUUAGAGGUAUUUUGACACCCCCUUCUUGAGGUCAACCAGAUUCGACAGCCAAGGUCCCUGCAGGACCCCAGAACAGUCCAUCCAGAGUUUUCAGUUAACCAUAUGAAUCAAACCCUUAAGAUUGUGACUCCCCACUCAAAACAAUUGACCUUACCCUAGGGAAAUUAAUGUUACAUGAUUAUAAAAUUGAAGAGAAAAAAUCUUGGCAGGAAAAAAAAUAAAAAAA